This 497-nucleotide ribosomal RNA is filed under the name uncultured bacterium. RNAcentral describes it as "partial 16S ribosomal RNA". It matches the Rfam family "Bacterial small subunit ribosomal RNA", at positions 28 to 507 of the family's 1533-position model. The record is from RNAcentral.
GAUGAACGCUGGCGGCGUGCCUAAUACAUGCAAGUCGAGCGAACGGACGAGAAGCUUGCUUCUCUGAUGUUAGCGGCGGACGGGUGAGUAACACGUGGAUAACCUACCUAUAAGACUGGGAUAACUUCGGGAAACCGGAGCUAAUACCGGAUAAUAUUUUGAACCGCAUGGUUCAAAAGUGAAAGACGGUCUUGCUGUCACUUAUAGAUGGAUCCGCGCUGCAUUAGCUAGUUGGUAAGGUAACGGCUUACCAAGGCAACGAUGCAUAGCCGACCUGAGAGUGUGAUCGGCCACACUAGAACUGAGACACGGUCCAGACUCCUACGGGAGGCAGCAGUAGGGAAUCUUCCGCAAGGGGCGAAAGCCUGACGGAGCAACGCCGCGUGAGUGAUGAAGGUCUUCGGAUCGUAAAACUCUGUUAUUAGGGAAGAACAUAUGUGUAAGUAACUGUGCACAUCUUGACGGUACCUAAUCAGAAAGCCACGGCUAACUACGUG